This 551-nucleotide ribosomal RNA is filed under the name uncultured bacterium. Its description in RNAcentral is "partial 16S ribosomal RNA". It matches the Rfam family "Bacterial small subunit ribosomal RNA", at positions 356 to 900 of the family's 1533-position model. The record is from RNAcentral.
AGGGAAUCUUCCACAAUGGACGCAAGUCUGAUGGAGCAACGCCGCGUGAGUGAAGAAGGUUUUCGGACCGUAAAGCUCUGUUGUUGGUGAAGAAGGAUAGAGGUAGUAACUGGCCUUUAUUUGACGGUAAUCAACCAGAAAGUCACGGCUAACUACGUGCCAGCAGCCGCGGUAAUACGUAGGUGGCAAGCGUUGUCCGGAUUUAUUGGGCGUAAAGCGAGCGCAGGCGGAAGAAUAAGUCUGAUGUGAAAGCCCUCGGCUUAACCGAGGAAUUGCAUCGGAAACUGUUUUCUUGAGUGCAGAAGAGGAGAGUAGAACUCCAUGUGUAGCGGUGGAAUGCGUAGAUAUAUGGAAGAAUACCAGUGGCGAAGGCGGCUCUCUGGUCUGCAACUGACGCUGAGGCUCGAAAGCAUGGGUAGCGAACAGGAUUAGAUACCCUGGUAGUCCAUGCCGUAAACGAUGAGUGCUAAGUGUUGGGAGGCUUCCGCCUCUCAGUGCUGCAGCUAACGCAUUAAGCACUCCGCCUGGGGAGUACACCGCAAGGUUGAAAC